CGAAGAGGUUGUUUAAAAAAUGCUUUUAAAAGGUUCUGGCGAUCAGGCAACUCAUCUGGGAUCAUCAGAACCCUUUAAAAGCUUUUUUUCCUCUGGCAAUCCCAGCUGAGUUGCCUGAUCAUCACAGGCUUUUAAAAGCAUUUUCAGCUGAAGAGGUUGUUGAAAAAAUGCUUUUAAAUUUUUUUUUUUAAAAGUUAGCCAUGCCCACCCAGUCACAUUACCCCCCCAAGCCACGCCCACAGAACCAGUAGUAACAAAUUUUACAUUUCACCCGUGUUUUGGACCACAUCUGCCUCAAGGGAUGCUAGCAGUGAGAGGUAACAUUCAAAAGCAGGGAUCUUCCAGCAACAAGCCAGAUCCAGAUUACAUUGGCCUGCUUAAAGUUGUGUCCAUCUUGACAAGUUUGCAUGGUAUGCUGGACUGCUUAAUGGCUGUAGUUACCAGGCUGCAUAGGCACUAAUGCCGAAAAGAGAGGAUCAGUUUUACACCCAAACAGUUUAAGAGUUUUAUGAAAUUUUGGUAUGUUGUCCUGCUCAACCGCAUCCUGCAAUAUUAAAAAAGGAAGGUAACAUAGGUUUAAGUUUUUCUGGUCACCUGCAGAUUUUCCGCAGCCAGAGCAUAUGGAUUAUUGCCAGUAUACUGCAGAUAUUUUAAUUUAAGCCUCCCCACCACCACUCAGGCACUGUUAUUUUUUUUCUUCCCCACCCCAUGUAUGGAUAAGAAAGAUAACUUUCUCCCACAACUUGUCUGCAGUGGCUGCAAUUUCAACUGUGCCACUGCAUAAUGUUUUUUCUGCAUAGUUUAAAAAAAGAACAAUUAUUCAGCCUUUGGAAAAAAAAUAGAGGGCUGCCAGAAACUGCUAGUUUAACCUGUGCAAAUGGUUAUUGAUUGUCUGCUGUAGCUUCACCAGUACUACCUGGUGAUAGUAGCAGACUUGGUCCCUAUUAGCAUGCAAGAGGGCCCUUGAGAGAGUGGAGAAAGGACUUGGCUCUAUAAGGAUCAUCAAGAUAUCCAUGUGGGUGUCAGAAUGUUUGCAAGAUGACAGGCAAAGGAACCUGGUUGAAACCUUGCCCCCUUUAUACCCACAUAUAAAAGAGGUGGGGCUUCUCUUGCAAGGUCAUACCCACUAUCUUGCAAAUUUGUACCUUCACUUCUCCAUGCGUUAUCUUUAGGAAAGGACCUGGUUAAUUCUUGUGGCAUCUUCUUCCUAUGGCACAUUUGCAAAACUAAACAAAGUGGUACUGCAGUAUUUAUGUGGUGGAUUGUAGCCUGGAUUCCCGGGAGGGAGGGACCACAUUCCAAAGGAGCAAGAGGCAGUGAAGUUUAGAUAGUUUGGUUGGGAGGAAGAGGCUGAAGACAGUGCCUCCCUAGAAAGUUCUCCUUUAGCGAUGCUAGUAGUUUGCUUUAGUUUGGCAAGAAUCCUGCCUGUAGGUAAGGAAUAAUAAAGAAAACUAGUUUGGAGUAACUCCACGUGUCUUUCUUGGUUUUGGAGUUUCUCAAUCGUGGCUACAUUAAGAUGUGUGAAUUUCAAUUCUCAGAAUUCUUCAGCCAGAAUGCUGGCUGGGGAAUUCUGGGAGCUGAAGUCCUGGGCAAGAUUGAGAAACAUUGAUACAGGAACUAGACAACGUGUCUAGGAGUGUGUACGCUAUAUAAUAAAUGCACAUAAUCUGGUCAAUGGGUUCUAAAUUUUUUAAAAUUGGCACAUAUAUGGAGAUGCCCUGUCUGUCUAGGGGGCAUGUAUAUAUGAGACAGUGGAAUAGAUCUGCAGCCCCCAGCUUGGUGGCAUCCUUCUCUGAAUGAAUACACUCUUUGCCCCACUAGAAAGCAGGCGGCAGGGGACAUCUGUAGCAGUGGUGGGUUUCAAAAAUUUUUACUACCAAAUCUGUGGGCGUAGCUUGGUGGGCAUGGCUUGGCUUGGUGGUGUGGCAGGGGAAUGUUACUGUAAAAUCUCCAUUCCCACCCCACUCCAACAUUACACUACACUAAAAUCUCCAUUCCCUCUUCAAUCCAGGGAAGGUUACUGCAAAAUCCCCAUUUCCUCCCGAUCAGCUGGGACUUGGGUGGUAGAUAAUAGAUGGGGGUGUGGCCAGUCAAAAUUUUUACUACCGGUUCUCCGAACUACUCAAAAUUUCCCCUAUCGGUUCUCCAGAACUGAUCAGAACCUGCUGAAACCCACCUCUGAUCUGUAGCCAUGUGAUGGCUUUUAACAUGUGGCUUUCUUUUGAAUGUCUCUGCCCUCAGGUUCAAACUAUGAAGGGAAACGCCAAAUGAAGGUUAGCAACAAACGCACUGUCUUUUUGCCUCCUGAGCUGCUACUGUCCACCUACCUGGAGCAAAUGAGCUGAUAUCCAGCAGAAAAGGAUGUCCCUGUCCCACUCCCUGGGCCUGCAUUGGAGAUUGUCUGCGUCCGUUGCUUUGCAGUAUUCAACACCAAUACACGUUACACGGGGCUAGGUUCUCCCACCUACAGAUAUGCCAGUCUUGCAGACUGAUAUCCUGUUCUGGAAUUGGGACUUUGAUGCCAUCCACAGGUUGUGUAUGGUUGCUUAGCAACUGUCCAUCUUUCCUCCUUGCUGCCUGGACACCUGGAAGGCCGCAAAGAUCCUGGAUGGGAGUGGAGGCAGUUGUCUUAAAUCCAGAUAGGGGAACUAAAGCCAGGCCUAUGGGAUCUGUGACAUCCAGGAAUUAUAAAAUUACAAAUCCCAGCAUGCCUUGCUUUUGGCCAUCUCCAGGCUGGGCCUUCUGACUGAGCAACUGAGGGAGGCCAAAGCAGGGAGGAGCCCCCACCCCAUAACAAAUAGAUAGAAUUCUUUAUUGGCCAAGUGUGAUUGGACACACAAGGAAUUUGUCUUUGGUGUAUCAUAGUUCAAAUACUUUGUUUUGCUUAGGUUAAACUUUUCUACCCAGGUACUAUCCAGAUAUGCCGCAGGCCAAUCCUAUCAUUCCCAACCAUCACCAGCAAUUAUCUUGUUGGUUGGGUUGAUGGAGGCUGUAGUCCACCAUGAGUGUUUUGUGAACAGAGAACCAGUGUGUAAAUUGAAAUGAGUAAAUAGUGUGAUAUAUUGACCGUACCACACUGGGGUGGGUGGGUUAUUGUAAUCAAUUUCUCAUGUAGUCCAAGUAUUGCUUAAAAGCACUCACCUUUUCCACUGGGAGACUAAUAUAAUAUAAAUUCAAAAACUCCUCACUUCCAAUUCCUUUUUCAUUUUCACCCUUAAAAACUCCAUAAAAAUGUUAGGUCUUCAUUCUGAAAGAUUCAGCAACAUGCAACUCUAAUGAGUAAAUAUGUCACAUUUCUCUCUGACAAGUUUAAAAUUUCUCCAGCAUCCAGGGGAUUUCAUCAGUCAGGAUUUCUGUCUCUGCAAGGUUAAAAUCUGGUAUCCCAGCUCAGAAUGGAAACAAGCAAAUAGUCCUGUUGACCAGCCUUUUUCAAUCUGGUACCGUUGAAGUAUGUUGAGACUGCAGCUUGCCAGAUUUCUCAGAGGACUGACCAGAAUGUUAACUUCAUUGCAUUUGGGGAGAAAAAUACUCUGUUAGAAAGGCCUCUCUUGUCUUUGAGAGACUCUUCUAUUAGAUGUCUUUAGAGGUCCCAAAGGUGCUUUUUCAGGAGGCAACUGGACUUUCUUGUUUCUUCUGAAGACGUAGAGAGUUAUUGGAGGUUUAUCUGUGUCCUCAGGGUCACCUGAGGUAGUGCUCCUGGUUUUCCUGAGGUAGUGCUCCUGGUUCCUGUAGUCUGCAAUUUUUUCCUCUGGAAAUCCAUUCCUACUCCCACACCCUCUAAAAGGAUGCAAAUGACCAGCUGUCUGCCAGGAAUAUAAAUCCUUCCAUUCCCCACUAUCCUGACAGAGCUGAAGAAGCUUCUUGGAUGAGAAGCAAAACAUCUUCAAAAGAAAAAAAACAAGAAAGUCCAGUUGCCUCCUGAAAAAGCACUUUUCGGACAAUUAUGACCUGGAUGACUGAGAAUCUCUACAGACUGUUCUUUAGAUGGUGUCCUGAUUUAGGCAGGAAGGCAUUAAAAAGAUGGACAAUUUUUAAUAAAGCUGCCAUUAAAAUAAAUUUCGAUGCCGGUGGUUAUCUAAGCAGCUUCCCUUUGCACUAAUGGGAAUAGUUUUUGUAAAAUUGAACUGCCUAAGGUUGGUAGGGUACCUUUGUUCCCUUUUGCAUUUGUUUCAGGUUCAAAUGCCUGUUGAUUUUAAAUUCAAUUCUUGGCACGCUUAGACACAAGGCAGCCCUAUCUCCUAGGGCAGGGUCUGCAACCUUAAACACUCAAAGAACCAUUUGGACUUGUUUCCCACAGAAAAGAAACAGUGGGAGCCACAAAACGCUUUCCGUGCCCGACUAUUUCUUGAGUGGCCACAUAACUAGCAUAUGCAGUUGAAUUAAAUGUUGUUUUCUUCUGAAAUUUUUCUUUUCUUGGAUUUAUCCAUGGUUGGCCUACCGGGGAUUAAAAAGUUCAAUAAAUUGUGUGCCGGCGGGUGUCACACAUUGGCGGUUGUGACGCAUAUUUUGAGUGACAGGGAGCCACAGCAGAGGGGUGAAAGAGCCACAUGCGGCUCCAGAGCCGCAGAUUGCUGACCCCUGUCCUAGGGCUUGCUGCCAAAUAGGCAGAUAUUUUUAAAAAGUUCUUACUUGAAUCAUUGAAUAUCUUUAAACAGCUAAUUCACACUAUAAAAUGCCAGGCUGAUUUUUCUUUUUUCUUUUAAAGAGAUUUUGUGGGUUUGCAGACUCUCCAGAUCAAUUGAGUGUCUUGUUCGUGACCUUUAUCUUUCCGCUUCAUAAUUUAGGUGGCUCUUGUUACAGCAGGUUUAUAUUAGCCAUGUUCUUUUGGAUUUAUGAAGCAAGUGGGCAUGAACUCCCUUAACCCAGCUGAACACAAUAAUCAGAGGGAUCUGCAGGAUCAGAGGCUUUCAUCAAAAUGACAAAAUGGGCAUCACAGUACAGGUAGCCCCCGAAUUAGAACCAUAACGGAGCCUGCCCGUUACAGAUAAACCUUGACUUACAACCAUUCCUUGAGUGACCAUUCCAGAUUACAACAGCACCGGAAAAAAGUAGUUUAUGUCCAUUUUUCACACUUAAUGACCAUUGCAGCAUCCCCAUGGUCAGGUGUGACUUGGCAACUGGCAAGUAUUUAUGACUGUUGCCGUGUUCUCAUCAGAAGAUCACUUUUGCAACCUUCUGAAAAGCAAAGUCAGUGGGGAAAUCGGAUUCAUUUAACAGCCAUGCCAUGAACUUAACAACUGCAGUGAUUCACUUAACAACUGUGGCAAGAAAGGUUGGGAAAUGGGGCAAAACUCACUUAUACAACUGUCGUGUUUAAGCAGUGGGAAUUUUGGGCUCCACUGUAGUCAUAAGACAAGGACUACUGGUAUAGUUGUAAUUUUAUAUUUUUUCUCAGUGGUCAUUAAAUGAACUCGGGGGGUAUAAAACAAAUGCCAUGUCAUUAAGCGAACAUCGCAGCUGUUGAGCGAAUCAGUGGGCUUGGUUUUGCUGAAACAAAAAAUAACUGCUGGUUUUAAGCAAAGCCACUGUAAAGGUCAUGUGACUGCAGGACACUACAAAAUGGCCAUUAAUGCAGCCAUGUUGCUGAGUGCUGAAAAUGUGGUCACAUCAGUAGUGGUUUUCACUUACCUUCGCUACUGAUUCGGAACUGGGAGCAUGCGCUUGCGUGCGCUCGCUUCACUUACAUGCAGCAGUUCUGCACAUGCGCAGAACCUUCUGCCCAUUUGCAGAGCAUCCGUGAUGACGUCCGGGCAGGUGGGCGGAGCCUCCCGCUGCUGCCGCUACUGGGGCAAACCGGUAGAAACCCACCACUGAGUCACAUCAUUUUGGGGGGCGGGCUACCAUAGGAACUUUGUAUCUGUAUCGUAAGUUCCAUUUUCUCAGGUAGAUUGUAACUUCAAAUGGUCACUAAACAACCAAUCAUAGGUCAAGGACUAUCGGUAUUGAAAGGCAAGCUCCACCCUUUCUGAGUGUUCGCAUGUGAUCCUCUUAUAAAUAUUGUGCUCUAUAUAGAUCAGUGGGCUGUAAAAAUAAGCACAAUGUGGCAAAAAGGCUAUCAAUUAGCUACAUCAAGGAAGAGCAGGAGAGCAGCUUUUAUCUGGCUUAAUUAAGUGUAGCUCCAUUAAGCAGCAUCUCCACACACAUUGUGUGUUUUCAGAAUAGCAGCCCAUUUUCUCUGUCCCAGACUUCCUAUUUUUGGAGCAAACUUACAGCUAAUGUGGGAGAGGGUUUUUUGUUGUUGUUUCGUUUUUAAUUUCUGCAGCUAUGGAAACUCAAGCUCAUUUUUGAGAAUGGUGUCUGAAUUCUUACGUCAUGUUAAAUUAUAGUUAAGAGAACAAAACAACUGCUGGAUUCACCUAGAACAGUAAUGGCGAACCUUUUGGACACCGAGUGCCCAAACAGAAAGAUGCGCAUAUGUGGACAUGGACAUGUGUGGACAUGCACGCAUGCGCAGCAGAGACCCAAAGACCAGCUGGCGGGGCAUCCCAACACCAGCAGCAUGGCAAGUGGUAAGAUCUUUUUCUUUCGUGAACUUCUGUUUCGUCGUUUGCAGGGAAACAGAAGCUCACGAAAGAAACGCCACAGAGAUUUGACCUGGGGCGAUGGCGCGCAUGCCAGCAGAGAGGGCUCUGCGUGCCAUAGGUUCGCCAUCACAGACCUUUAACAUCACACUGUCAGCCUUGGUUCAAAAAAACAACAACAACAACCCAGUGGCUGAGUUCAUACAAUCUACUAAACCUUAGCUCCAUAAAUACUAUUAUGUGUGAUGUAUGAAUCCUGUUGCUGUACUGUGGUUGGAUUCUACCUUUGUAGAACAAGUAGUGAAAAUUGGGUGUGUAUAUUUGAAUGGUUGCUUUGAUUACCGCAGGCAUUCAGUUUUUGGAAUUACAUCUCUCCCAGCUUUAGUAAAGCCACCCUGGAAAAUCUUUUUAAAGUUGGCAGAACCCAGACUAAAUGAGGUUAUUUUUUAAACAGCAAUAAAUAAAUAGAUCAUAAAUAAUAGAAUAAAUAGAAAUAAAAGUCAGUUUCAAAAUUCUGCUUCAAACCACCAUUCCCAAUCUGGCCACUCUAUUGUGCAAAAUGUAACAUAGUGUAUUUUUUUUUCUACAUAUACAUAUCUAUGUAUAUAUUAAUAUAUAUGUAUAUACACAUUAAUGUGUAUCCAUUAAGAAUUUAUUUUAGUUCUUCAAAUUGCUGGGGAUUAACCAACAGAGAUAGAAAUCAACUUUCUUAUUGAUAUAAAUAUCUGAAACUGCUCAUAGAAGAUUACUGGUGUUUUUAUCACUAUAAUUUAGGUUUGAAAUUAAUAAUCUGAUUGCCAUAAAAUGUGGUUCAGGGUGAUUGGUUGUUUAAUGUCCUUUAGUCUUGCAAACCAUGUGCAAGCUACGAAAAAACAAGAAAAUCCUCAUAACCAUCUGUUGGUUAAACAAGGCCUGGAAAGAAGGGGAAUAUUUGUAGCUCAGGGUUGAAAUGAGAGGUCCUUGGUGUUCUCUGUAAGGAGGUAAGUAUUUAAAAGGGGGGGAAAAACACUUUAUUCAGAAUAACAUUUGGUGGGUUUUCUGCUUUCCUCUGAGCAUCCCAUGAUCUAAUCUCACCAAGUUCAUCCCCAAAACAUUCAGUCUGAAGUGUUAAAUUUUUGUUUACCGACAAAGAAAUAAAAUGUAACACAAAAAUGGUUUUUCGGGAAAGUUGACUACCUGCGAAGGCUCCUGGAUUGGGGCUGAAAGGCGAAAGCGGAAGCAGUACGCUCCGUCCCAUGUUUGGGCAGACCAGGUUGCCCUGAUUUUAAAAAAACAAAAAAACCCCACUGGUUCAGUCUGAAGACUUCUAAAGCUGAUUCUCCCAUAGUCUACCUUGACAUGGGGAAAUUCCUACUUGGUUCUCAGCAUUCUGAUAAUUGAUACUGUUUUCCCUUUGGAGUGAAAGAUUUUUGCCCCCUUCACCUUAUUCCAUUUAAUGCCGCUUGGAGACCCCUCAAAUAAAGGAAAAUCACCCACACAAUAAUUUCUUGCCAUGAUGUUGGUUGCUUGCCUUGGCCGCAACUAAUACAGGGGUUCAACAGGGCAGGGGUUCAGUGAUGCGGGUAGUCCUUGACUUACGACCGACAGUUUAACAAGUGUUCAGCGUUAUGAAGGUGCUGAAAAAAAGUGACAAAAAGUCCUUGCGCUUAUAGGUCCCCAUGGUUAUGCGAUUGUGAUUUGGGCACUUGGCAACUGCCAUGUAUUUACAACAGUUGCAGCAUCCCUGGGGGAUGUGAUUGUCAUUUGCCACCUUCCCAGCCAACUUCCAAUACACACAGUCAGUGGGGGAAGCCAGAUUUGCUUAACAAUUACAAGAUUUGCUUAACAACCAUGGCAAAAAACGUAAAAUUGGGCGUGGCUCACUUAAUGUCCUGCUCACUUAAUAACAGAACACCUAUCCUAAUUGGGGAGGUUGUAAGUCAAGGACCACCUUUGCAUCCAUUCUAAAUUGGAGAAUUCCAAAAAGCCCUGCAGAAUUGCUUGCCACUUAAAAAAAGAAGACUGCCUUUUAAACCUCUAGUGAAUUAUUUAACAGGUUAAUCUCCUGUCAAUGGAAGAUAAAUCAGAAUACCUUUCUUUUGAGGAAGCCUUCCGUCCUAGUUCUGAUUUAUGGGUCUCGUUCUUAUUCUGGUUUGUGAAUUUUCUUACACGCUCAGAAAUGUAAAAAACCAAAGUGCUGUGUUAUUUUAUUUUAAUCAUUGUCAAGCCAUAAGAGUCAUAUUGUGAAUAUUCUGCUUCUUAAGAAAUGAGUGCUUAUUGAUGAUUUGCAAUGUGAGGGUUCAUUUUGAAAUGAUGUCUUUGUUUUUCUUUUUGCUUUAAAAAAAAUUAUCUCAGCUUUUACCAUAGGGUGAAAAAAUGCUUGAGUGAGGAAGGGUGAGAGCAGCCCAUUGCUUUGUGAAAAUCGUCUGUAAUUUUUAGGAAGCAGUAAAACUUUGCACGCUGGAAGAUACCACUUCUUUGCAUGUGUAAAAGUCCCUAUAUGAGAAAUGAGGUGUGCUCCAUGUGGAAAUUGACUCUUGUAAAUACUUGACUAGAAACUACCAGCUUAUUGUGUGGAAUACAAUUUUCUUAGGCUAAGAUGAUUUAGGGAAGGGAUUUCAAACAUGCUCCUUUUGUGGUACAGUCUAGGCCCGGGGUGAGUAACUACGGCAACUUUAUGACCUGUGGACUUCAAAUCCCAGAAUUCCAUGCCGGCUCAGGAAUUCUGGAAGGCAAA
Molecule: long non-coding RNA, 9237 nt
Organism: Ahaetulla prasina
Lineage: Eukaryota; Metazoa; Chordata; Lepidosauria; Squamata; Colubridae
Exons: 2
Source: RefSeq, a predicted model, not a curated record